Molecule: long non-coding RNA, 3631 nt
Organism: Nicotiana attenuata
Lineage: Eukaryota; Viridiplantae; Streptophyta; Magnoliopsida; Solanales; Solanaceae
Exons: 2
Source: RefSeq, a predicted model, not a curated record
UAUUUAUAACAAGAGAACAAAAAAAGUGAAAGGUGGAAAUUCAUUUGGUGGAAAACCAAAGGAUUUCCCCAGCAAAGAAAAGUUAGCCCAAAAAUGAAAAGAGAAAAAUGAGGCAAAAACAGAGAGUAUUGGGAUUUUAUUCAAAGGGUGGUUGCCCCUGUCUGUUUAGCCAUUGAUUUUCCUUUUCCACUUUAAAAAAAAAUCAACAGCCCUUAAAUUCAUGGAAAUAUGUAGUACUAUACAGUCUAUACUUCAGCAUCAACAACAACAACCAGAUCUCUGUUUUCUGUCUCCUUUUCUGUGAUUUUAAUUCCUCCUUUUUGAUACAUAUAACAGUAGAGGCAAUGAUGAUGAUAUUUUCUUAUGGUUCUGGGCUAACUGGGUCGGGCAUAGAGACUAUCCGACCCGUAUCUUGGCCUGGCGGAUCACCGGACGGCCGGCGAUCCGAAGGUUUUUUCUUUGCAUGCUACCGGUGAUUUUGCAGCCAUGGCGCGGUUGCCUCUCUUUUGCCCGAUCUCUCUUUGCAGAUCUGAGCCUCUUAAGUACUGUGAAAUAGAUUUAAAACUUCUUCUUCUUUGAAUUUCAACUACUUUUUGUCUCUAAGUGUUAGCUUAAGCAUCAGGCCAAAAGAAUGAGGAUUUUGAGAAAGAUUGACUUCUUCUGCCAAAAGCAUUUUCUUCACUAUGACUCUGUGUUAGGAAAAUUAUUUUCUAAAUAAUUUCAUUCUGUACUGUAAAUAAUUUUUUGGUCGUGUCAAACAUGUAUAUCUUAGGACAUGCAAAACCAAAAUAUUCCAUUCAUGAUUUAACAAAACCAAAUUCAAUUGACCGACCAUGUUAUGUGGUAAACUGUACCCAAAAUACCCUUUAACUUUGCUGCAGAUAAGCCUACUAUAGCAUGGACUCAAGUUGUAAAUAAGCAUACAUCAGAGGGCAAAACAAGAAAUAUUGAUGCCUUAAAUUAUUCUCUUUAACACAAAGCAGAAAACCAAAAGCUCACAAAGAAUGAGGGUUGCAGAGAGUAGAGGGAAGCUCAAGGGUAGCUGCUCCUCUCUACAAUUACUAUGAUUUCAUUUUUACCAAACAAUGCCCUUGUGCAGUAAACUAGAGUGAUUUUAUUUUGUGUCUCACAUAAUUUAUAAUUUACAUUGGUGAACAAAAUUCUGGGACCACAGAGGCACAAAAUAAAAAAAUUUCAGUAAACUAUAUCCAAACGACCUCUCUACUCUAUCUCCAAGUCCUCACUCCAUAAAAGAGAAUCAAUAGUAAUAAUAAUUGUAGCAAAAAUCUGAGGCUGUGAUUAUGAUUUUUUCUUCUGUCUCUGAGCAACUUGAUUAGGGCAGGAGAAUAAUCGGAACCGUAACUUGGCGGGGCAACUCGGACGGUGACGACUUGCAACCGGUGUUUGCAGCCAUGGCGGUGUCUCCAAUCUCUUCCCUUAUCUUCAUUAUUACAGAUCUGAGCCUCAAUUGGAAGGUUAUUUUCUUAAGUGCAAACUUACAGGCUCUUUUCCCUUAAAUUUUGGAAUUCGCAGGUGAAAAACCCACGAGAAUUUCCCCUAAAAAAUGCAAAAAGGUUAGCCCAUAAAGAAAUGAGGCAAAACAGAGAGUAUUGAGAUUUUCAUUAGAAGGGUGGUUUCCCUUCUCUGUUCCGCCAUUGAUUUUUCUCCAUUUUCAAAAAAAAAACCAACAGCCCUUGUUUAUGACAAAAGCAGAAGCAGACAGGAUUUAAGUGGGCAUUUGGACAUAAGAAUUGUGAAAUUCCGGAAAAAAGUAAAAUCUUUUUCACUGAAAUCUGUAUUUACUUUUUGUGUUUGUGUUUGUGUUUAUCUUGCUGAUGGAAGUUACAUAAAGAGGCAGUGAUGAUGAUGUUUCUUGUAUCUGGGCUAACCAAUUUGGGCAUAGAGAUGAGCCGACCCGUAUCUUGGUGUGGCAACCCGGUAUGGCCUGUGAUUGAGAUAUCUGUCUCUCACUUGCAACUGGUGUUUUGCAGCCAUGGCGUAGCUGGCUUCUCUUUGCCUUAUCAUAACACAUCUGAGCCCCAUUUGCUGAAAAGAAAAAAAAAAGAUAAUCUUUUCUAUGAUUUGGAUUAAUCGAAAAUCAGGAAGGGAAGCCUUGGAGCAAUGGUAAAGUUAUUUUCGUGUGACUAGUGGUGGCAAAAUGGUUAAAAGAAAAUAGCUAUCGACCAUAUUAUUCAUUAAAAAUAGGUUGGAAGUAAUGGGUCAAAUGAAUAAGAUCUAUAUUAUCCACUUAGAAAAUGGAUAGCCUAGUGGAUAACCAAUGGAUAACUAAUAGGUUUAACUUUUACAUUGGGUUUAUCAAGUUUGGGAGACUUGGAAUUCUUCCAAAAGUGAUCAUAUCCAAGAAGCCAUGGACUACAACGGCAAAACGAGGACAUAAUAUAGAAGUGAAAGAGGGUGUGAUGAUAAUUCCUGUACACAAGGAAUUGAGGAUUGAGUUGAAGAGGCUCGCCUCUUGGCAGGGCAACCCGAUUUUGAAGGUGUCUUAAGGCCCAGAUGCAGCUUGGGUUGGAGCCAUGGCGGUCUGCUCAUUGCCUUAUCAUUAUACACAUCUGAGCCGCCUUCUUAUUUUAGAUGAUGUUGACCUUCUUGGCUCUAGGGUACAGUGGUAAAUGGAGCGUUUGAAGCAUCGUAUGAAACAGAUCCUGUUUACGUUAAGCUGCAAAUGCGUUUGUACUCUUGAAAAAGUAUGGUUUACAGUAUGGCUUAUCUAUAAAGGACUAAACUGGCUUGGAGUUGAGCAACACGUUAUUGAAACGGGAAGUUCUCUAUGGUGCCACAGAAGUGAUGAACGUAUCAUUUAAACACCUUUGAAUUCUUUCUUAUUGUCCUGGCAAUGUUAUUCCCCUUAAUUGUGAUAGAUAUGACUUAUGAGGCUGCAGAGGGAUGAGGAGCUUCUAAGGUGAUAGAACACCCUUUUGGCUUUUCUUGAAGGUUGCAUUCCUCAUAAACCCAUCCCGCAAUUCUCUAAAUUGAAGCCAUCCUUCGACUGUUAGACUUGUAAUAUCUUGAUGAGCAUUUUCCUUGAUUUCUAGUAAAGUUUGGCAUUUGCGGUUACUGGUAUCAAAAGUUGCUUUAAGCAGUGUUCAGGCAUUUACAACAACCAAUUUUGUCAGGGAAAAAGCUAAUGGAGGUUACAGUACCGGAUUUUUCUUGUGCUCUUAUAUUUGGGAUUUGUUGCAAGUCUUUUACUAGAUUAAAUUCCCAUGCUCCAGGUGGUUCAAACUUAAGUUUCUGAUUAUUCAAGGAUGUGUCAAGGGGAUGCUUUUUGUGGUGUCUUUCCAUGGGUUUCAAAUAGCUUCAACACAGCUUUGAGAAGAAAUGAGAUUUUGAGAUUGACUGCUUAAUUGAGAAAGAUUUUUUUGCCAGAGGCAAUUGAUUAUUCAGUCAAAGAUUGACUGCUGAAUUGAUUUGCUUUUUUGUAUUUGUUAGAGGAGUAUAAGUUAUAUACACUAUCAAUAUAAGGAACUUUUACAUUCUCAGAACACAAUUAGUAAUUCUUUGAUAGCUUCUACACCAGCAGGGUGAUGAACAUCGUUGGUUUGUAUAUCAGUGCUAUACAUUUGCAGCAUAUAUUUCAAGUACUUAUUGGACCAAAUGAUUAAAUUUCAGA